Molecule: ribosomal RNA, 526 nt
Filed under: uncultured bacterium
Lineage: Bacteria
Description: bacterial SSU rRNA
Rfam family: Bacterial small subunit ribosomal RNA
Source: RNAcentral
UCGGGAAUUUUGGGCAAUGGGCGAAAGCCUGACCCAGCAACGCCGCGUGAGGGAUGAAGGCCUUCGGGUCGUAAACCUCUGUCGGGAGGGAAGAAUGUCUUCGGGGUGAACAAUCCCGGAGGUUGACGGUACCUCUAGAGGAAGCGCCGGCUAACUCCGUGCCAGCAGCCGCGGUAAUACGGAGGGCGCAAGCGUUGUUCGGAAUCAUUGGGCGUAAAGCGCGUGUAGGCGGCUUGGUAAGUCGAGUGUGAAAUCCCGGGGCUCAACCCCGGAAGGUCGCUCGAAACUGCCUCGCUCGAGUCCCGGAGAGGAAGGCGGAAUUCCCGGUGUAGAGGUGAAAUUCGUAGAUAUCGGGAGGAACACCAGCGGCGAAGGCGGCCUUCUGGACGGUGACUGACGCUGAGACGCGAAAGCGUGGGGAGCAAACAGGAUUAGAUACCCUGGUAGUCCACGCCGUAAACGAUGAGUACUAGGUGUAGGAGGUAUCGACUCCUUCUGUGCCGCAGUUAACACAAUAAGUACUCCG